RNAcentral lists this unclassified non-coding RNA (253 nucleotides) under uncultured Rhodobacterales bacterium. Its description in RNAcentral is "contains 16S-23S intergenic spacer region". It matches the Rfam family "Bacterial small subunit ribosomal RNA", at positions 524 to 776 of the family's 1533-position model. Lineage: Bacteria; Pseudomonadati; Pseudomonadota; Alphaproteobacteria; Rhodobacterales. The record is from RNAcentral.
UACGGAGGGGCCUAGCGUUGUUCGGAAUUACUGGGCGUAAAGCGCGCGUAGGCGGACUGGAAAGUUCGGGGUGAAAUCCCGGGGCUCAACCCCGGAACUGCCUUCAAAACUAUCAGUCUGGAGUUCGAGAGAGGUGAGUGGAAUUCCGAGUGUAGAGGUGAAAUUCGUAGAUAUUCGGAGGAACACCAGUGGCGAAGGCGGCUCACUGGCCAGAUACUGACGAUGAGGUGCGAAAGUGUGGGGAGCAAACAGG